ACGAGUUUUAAUUGUUAGGUGUAGGGAGUUGAGCUGGUGGUAAUCUAAUUAAUAUGUGCUUCUCUAAUCGAAGAAAGUCCACUCAUUACUUAACACUUGUGAACUUAUUCAUACAAACAUUAUUAUUUGUUAUUGGAACGUUUGAUUAUUAAAAAGUUAAUACAAG
This 166-nucleotide unclassified non-coding RNA is filed under the name soil metagenome. RNAcentral describes it as "partial internal transcribed spacer 1". The record is from RNAcentral.